Long non-coding RNA from Oncorhynchus tshawytscha (Chinook salmon), 582 nucleotides. The record is from Ensembl. NCBI's taxonomy places the organism in Eukaryota, Metazoa, Chordata, Actinopteri, Salmoniformes, Salmonidae.
AUAAACAGUAAAAGAAGCGCAAGCAUUCAUUUCGAUGAUCAACUAGGAAUGCCUUGAAGAUCGACCGGUUGGUGACCACCGAGCUAGAGAAAGGUGUUGGAGGAGUAUGUGGUUUUGGACAGUCCAGAGAUGGAGCUGAGCCCUGAGGGCCCAUCUACCGGUGGUUAAUCGCCCCUUGAUUCAUCAUCUCUCCAGCCUGGUUCAUCACCUCUCCGGCCCCUCUCCCCAACGCCCAGGCCCUUCUUACCAACACCCAACCAGGCGCACCUGCCAUGCAACUCCAACAACCUCCACCCCAUCUCCCCGAUCCAGCUCCAAUGGCUGGAAGAGGAAGACAGCUGAGGAUCCUUCGGACACUGACAUGACGCAGCGGGUGGAUGACUUAAAGAAACUGCACCUGGAGUUACAGAAACAGCAGCAGUGUCCAGCAAAGGCCGUCUACGAUGUCAUGGUGCCAUGGAUGAUGUCUCUUCCUGCUGAUCAACGUCUCCUGUUUGUCUCACCCCUAAACCUGUUGUGUGCUUUUUUCUUAUUCAUACGUUAUGGUGGUGGGGGGGGGUUGCAUGUUUUUUUUGUACUUAU